This 429-nucleotide ribosomal RNA is filed under the name uncultured bacterium. RNAcentral's name for it is "bacterial SSU rRNA". It matches the Rfam family "Bacterial small subunit ribosomal RNA", at positions 355 to 776 of the family's 1533-position model. The record is from RNAcentral.
UGGGGAAUUUUGGACAAUGGGGGCAACCCUGAUCCAGCAAUGCCGCGUGCGGGAAGAAGGCCUUCGGGUUGUAAACCGCUUUUGUCAGGGACGAAAAGGUGCUUGUGAAUAAUGAGCACUGCUGACGGUACCUGAAGAAUAAGCACCGGCUAACUACGUGCCAGCAGCCGCGGUAAUACGUAGGGUGCAAGCGUUAAUCGGAAUUACUGGGCGUAAAGCGUGCGCAGGCGGUUGGGUAAGACAGAUGUGAAAUCCCCGGGCUUAACCUGGGAACUGCAUUUGUGACUGCUCGACUGGAGUAUGUCAGAGGGGGGUGGAAUUCCAAGUGUAGCAGUGAAAUGCGUAGAUAUUUGGAAGAACACCGAUGGCGAAGGCAGCCCCCUGGGGCAAAACUGACGCUCAUGCACGAAAGCGUGGGGAGCAAACAGG